This 465-nucleotide ribosomal RNA is filed under the name uncultured bacterium. RNAcentral's name for it is "partial 16S ribosomal RNA". It matches the Rfam family "Bacterial small subunit ribosomal RNA", at positions 28 to 507 of the family's 1533-position model. The record is from RNAcentral.
GACGAACGCUGGCGGCGUGCUUAACACAUGCAAGUCGAACGGAAAGGCCCUGCUUGCAGGGUACUCGAGUGGCGAACGGGUGAGUAACACGUGGGUGAUCUGCCCUGCACUUCGGGAUAAGCCUGGGAAACUGGGUCUAAUACCGGAUAGGAGCCAUUUUUAGUGUGAUGGUUGGAAAGUUUUUUCGGUGUAGGAUGAGCUCGCGGCCUAUCAGCUUGUUGGUGGGGUAAUGGCCUACCAAGGCGGCGACGGGUAGCCGGCCUGAGAGGGUGGACGGCCACAUUGGGACUGAGAUACGGCCCAGACUCCUACGGGAGGAAGCAGUGGGGAAGAUUGCACAAUGGGCGCAAGCCUGAUGCAGCGACGCCGCGUGGGGGAUGACGGCCUUCGGGUUGUAAACUCCGUUCGCUAGGGACGAAGCUUUUUGUGACGGUACCUAGAUAAGAAGCACCGGCUAACUACGUG